AGAAUCUGGAGUCAGCUGGAGUGUGCCAGCAGCAAGAUGGCCCUUACCAGAUGCUGGCACCUUGAUAUUUGACUUCCCAGCCUCCAGAACUGUGAGAAACAAAUUUAUUUUCUUUAUAAAUUACUCAGAUUGUGGUGUUCUGUUACAGCAACACAAAAUGGACUAUGUGAAGAAAACCAUGUUGGAAUCUUGUGCUGUCAUUGAUAAGAAAGGAUCUGAGCAUUAGGUCAAUCACCAAAAAACUGAAAAAUCAGUAACAAUGAUGACAGACUCUUCAAAUAGGAUGAUUUAAAUUUUAGGAAAUUGGAAGAAGACUCCAAGAAACUUAACAAGGUCCUCCAAUAUUUUCCCCAAAAUGAUCUUCUCUGAUUUGACUAUGCUUGUUCCUCCAUAUCUCCCUGAUCCCUAGACUUCUUCUGUCCUCUAUCCACAUUCUCUCCCAAGGUGGGUCAUCUAGUUUCAUGACUUUAAAUCCUCCCUUAAACUGUUGGUUCUCAAAUAUGCACUUGUCACUUCUCUCCUAAACUCCAGACUCAUGUAUUCAGCUACCUACUUGACACUUCUGUGUGGAUGUCUAGUAGGUAAUAAUCUUAGAAUUAUUGUGCCCUGUCAAAUUCCUGCUCUUCCCUCUAAAAUAUCUUAAUACUAUUCAGUCUUCCCCAUUUCUGUUUAUCUCAGUUCCUUUUCAGGUCAAAAACCUGAGUUAUCUUUGAUUCCUCUCUUUCUCUCACAUUCUAGUAGUCCAGUUCCUUUCAUAAUCAGAUCAAUUAGUAAGCCCUAUCAGCUCCAUUUUUAAAAUGUAACUAGGAUCC
This 812-nucleotide long non-coding RNA is filed under the name Homo sapiens (human). Its description in RNAcentral is "non-protein coding lnc-MRPL3-2:14". Lineage: Eukaryota; Metazoa; Chordata; Mammalia; Primates; Hominidae. The record is from RNAcentral.